Molecule: ribosomal RNA, 1839 nt
Filed under: Filamoeba nolandi
Lineage: Eukaryota; Evosea; Variosea
Description: SSU rRNA
Rfam family: Eukaryotic small subunit ribosomal RNA
Source: RNAcentral
ACCUGGUUGAUCCUGCCAGUAGUCAUAUGCUUGUCUCAAAGAUUAAGCCAUGCAUGUCUAAGAGUAACCCCAGUAAGGGGAAGUCUGCGAAUGGCUCAUUAAAUCAGUUAUAGUCUAUUUGGAUGUGGGCUUGCUACACGGAUAACUGUGGCAAUUCUAGAGCUAAUACGUGCUAAAUCCUCAACUUCGCGGAAGAGGUGUAUGUGUUAGAUAUUCAACUGGCUCGCUAGUUGAUUCAUAACAGCCUUAACUGACCGCAUAGCCUUGCGCUGGCGGCGUCGCAUUCGAAUUUCUGAUCUAUCAACUUGAAGGUAGGAUAGGGGCCUACCUUGGUUGUAACGGAUAACGGGGAAUUAGGGUUCGGUUCCGGAGAGGGCGCCUGAGAGAUGGCGACCACUUCCAAGGAAGGCAGCAGGCGCGCAAAUUACCCAAUGCUAAUACAGCGAGGUAGCGACAAUAAAUAACAAUGUCGGGGUCUUAAAGCCUCGGCAAUUGGAAUGAGCACAAUUUAAAUCCCUUAGCGAGGAACAACUAGAGGACAAGUCCGGUGCCAGCACCCGCGGUAAUUCCGGCUCUAGUAGCGUAUAUUAAAGUUGUUGCAGUUAAAAAGCUCGUAGUCUGACUUCGGGCUGGAUUGUGAAGGCUUACCGCAAGGUAGGACGGAUAAUCUGGCCUUAUCCUCUGAUGUGCUCUCUGCUCUUAACUGAGCGGAUCUGUCGCACAGGGGCGUUUACCCUGAGCAAAUUGAGGUGUUCAAGGCAGGCAUAUAUGCUCGAACAAUGUAGCAUGGGAUAAUAGAAUAAGGCUUAGACUUGCUUUUGCUGGUUGGUGAGUCUAGGCAAUGAUCAACAGGGGCGGUCGGGGUGCUUCAUAUGCAGGCGCUAGAGGUGAAAUUCUUGGACCGUCUGCAGAUGCCCAGACGCGAAAGCGUUGCACUAGUACGUCCCCAUUGAUCAAGAACGAAAGUUAAGGGAGCGAAGACGAUCAGAUACCGUCGUAGUCUUAACCCUAAACGAUACCGACCAGGGAUCGAGGACAGUCCCAUGGUUGACUCCUUCGGAACCUUGUGGGAAACCACGAGUCUUUGGGUUCUGGGGGGAAUAUGGUCGCAAGGCUGAAACUUAAAGGAAUUGACGGAAGGGCACACCAGGAGUGGAGCCUGCGGCUUAAUUUGACUCAACACGGGGAAACUCACUCGGUCAGGACAUAGUAAGGAUUGACAGGUUGACGGUCCUUUCUUGAUUCUAUGGGUGGUGGUGCAUGGUCGUUCUUAGUUCGUGGAGUGAUCUGUCUGGUUAAUUCCGCUAACGGACGAGACCUCUCCUUAUUAACUAGUGCGGCUCGCGGCCGUAAGGGUGAAGUGGUGGAGCUGGUUGGUGCUUAGGUGCUGACUGCUUAGCCAUGGAACCUGGCGUGCGGGUUGUUUACUUCUUAGGGGUACAAUCUGCGUUUUAGCAGAGGGGAGCUAGAGGCAAUAACAGGUCUGUGAUGCCCUUAGAUGUUCGAGGCUGCACGCGCGCUACAAUGGUAUGGUCAGCGAGUUCCUGGCUCGAAAGGGUUGGGGAAUCACAUGAAUCCAUAUCGUGCUGGGGAUAGAUGAUUGCAAUUAUUCGUCUUCAACGAGGAAUUCCUAGUAAGUGCACUUCAUCAGAGUGCGCUGAUUGCGUCCCUGCCCUUUGUACACACCGCCCGUCGCUCCUACCGAUUGAACGGUCCGGUGAAAUCUACGGAUAUUGGGAUUAUAGGGGCAACCCUGAAUCUCGAUAGAAGUUGAGUAAACCUUACUGUUUAGAGGAAGGAGAAGUCGUAACAAGGUUUCCGUAGGUGAACCAGCGGAAG